GGAACAGUGGAAACUUGAAUGGAACAAGAGAAGCGUUGUGUAAACGAAUUACCUUGCUUACUCUGUUCUCCAUACCACGGUUGAUUCACGGGUCCAUUCAGGGGACCGAGUUUCGACCAGGGAAACAUGGAAAAUAAUGCAUCAUGCAAGGCGAGUUUCCUCCGUCGUCGUCGCCGUCGCCUAUGUGGUCGGAAUGGAGAAAAAGAAACGCUGAACGUUGGUUGGAAGUUGGUAGAAACUGUUGGUGAACACCGUUUAUAUUAUUCAAAUGGGUCAUCGAGUUACAGCAUGCAUCGCCAACCCCUCUCCACCCCUCAUCAUCACAGUGCAUCCCAUUUUGUAUGGCAUCCCAAACUAGUGUUUUGGGAAGAUGUCGAUUCUGC
RNAcentral lists this small RNA (383 nucleotides) under Histoplasma capsulatum var. duboisii H88. RNAcentral describes it as "Histoplasma capsulatum H88 hypothetical RNA". The record is from RNAcentral. Lineage: Eukaryota; Fungi; Ascomycota; Eurotiomycetes; Onygenales; Ajellomycetaceae.